UGGCUCAACUCAAGCUACGAGCGUUCUGCA
This 30-nucleotide non-coding RNA is filed under the name Homo sapiens (human). The record is from RNAcentral. Lineage: Eukaryota; Metazoa; Chordata; Mammalia; Primates; Hominidae.